GAUGAACGCUGGCGGCGUGCCUAAUACAUGCAAGUCGAGCGAACAGAUGAGGAGCUUGCUCCUCUGACGUUAGCGGCGGACGGGUGAGUAACACGUGGAUAACCUACCUAUAAGUCUGGGAUAACUUCGGGAAACCGGAGCUAAUCCCGGAUAAUAUAUUGAACCGCAUGGUUCAUUAGUGAAAGACGGUUUUGCUGUCACUUAUAGAUGGAUCCGCGCCGCAUUAGCUGGUUGGUAAGGUAACGGCUUACCAAGGCAACGAUGCGUAGACGACCUGAGGGGGUGAUCGCCGACACUGGAACUGGGACACGGUCCAGACUCCUACGGGAGGCAGCAGUAGGGAACCUGCCGCAAUGGGCGAAAGCAUGACGGAGCAACGCCGCGUGAGUGAUGAAGGUCUUCGGAUCGUAAAACUCUGUUAUUAGGGAAGAACAAAUGUGUAAGUAACUAUGCACGUCUUGACGGUACCUAAUCAGAAAGCCACGGCUAACUACGUG
RNAcentral lists this ribosomal RNA (497 nucleotides) under uncultured bacterium. RNAcentral's name for it is "partial 16S ribosomal RNA". It matches the Rfam family "Bacterial small subunit ribosomal RNA", at positions 28 to 507 of the family's 1533-position model. The record is from RNAcentral.